GACGGAAGGAGCAAGCGUUAUUCGGAUUCAUUGGGCGUAAAGAGCGUGUAGGCGGCCGGGCAAGUCAGAGGUGAAAGCCCAGGGCUCAACCCUGGAAGUGCCUUUGAAACUGCUUGGCUUGAGUUCGGGAGAGGGAAGUGGAAUUCCUGGUGUAGAGGUGAAAUUCGUAGAUAUCAGGAGGAACACCGGUGGCGAAGGCGACUUCCUGGACCGAAACUGACGCUGAGACGCGAAAGCGUGGGGAGCAAACAGG
RNAcentral lists this ribosomal RNA (253 nucleotides) under uncultured bacterium. RNAcentral's name for it is "partial 16S ribosomal RNA". It matches the Rfam family "Bacterial small subunit ribosomal RNA", at positions 524 to 776 of the family's 1533-position model. The record is from RNAcentral.